Erpetoichthys calabaricus (reedfish) is the source of this 1481-nucleotide long non-coding RNA. RefSeq lists it as uncharacterized. The transcript has 8 exons. Lineage: Eukaryota; Metazoa; Chordata; Cladistia; Polypteriformes; Polypteridae. The record is from RefSeq and is a predicted model, not a curated record.
AAAUAAUCAGACCACAUAGAGCUGAGGUGGGCCAAAAUAAUCAGACCACAUAGACAGAGUUGAGGUGGGCUAAAAUAAUAAGACCACAUAGACAGAGUUGAGGUGGGCCGAAAUAAUAAGACCACAUAGACAGAGUUGAGGUGGGCUGAAAUAAUCAGACCACAUAGAGUUGAGGUGGGCCGAAAUAAUCAGACCACAUAGAAAGAGUUGAGGUGGGCAGAAAUAAUCAGACCACAUAGACAGAAUUGAGGUGGGCCGAAAUAAUAAGACCACAUAGACAGAGUUGAGGUGGGCUGAAAUAAUCAGACCACAUAGAGUUGAGGUGGGCCGAAAUAAUCAGACCACAUAGACAGAAUUGAGGUGGGCUGAAAUAAUCAGACCACAUAGAGUUGAGGUGGGCCGAAAUAAUCAGACCACAUAGACGGAGUUGAGGUGGGCUAAAAUAAUAAGGCCAGAUAGACAGAGUUGAGGUGGGCUAAAAUAAUCAGACCACAUAGACAGAGUUGAGGUGGGCUAAAAUAAUAAGACCACAUAGACAGAGUUGAGGUGGGCUAAAAUAAUCAGACCACAUAGACAGAGUUGAGGUGGGCUAAAAUAAUCAAACCACAUAGAGUUGAGGUGGGCCGAAAUAAUCAGACCACAUAGACGGAGUUGAGGUGGGCUAAAAUAAUCAGACCACAUAGAGGGAGUUGAGGUGGGCUAAAAUAAUCAGACCACAUAGACAGAGUUGAGGUGGGCCGAAAUAAUCAGACCACAUAGAGUUGAGGUGGGCCGAAAUAAUCAGACCACUCGUGACCUCUUUGUCUUUCUGACUGAACGCUGGUGGUGCUGCUGCUAAUGCUGCUAUAUAAAUCAAUGCACUCAAAGAGAAAGCACAGUUUCCUAUGUCUAGAUGGGAGAUUUUCUUCUCCUCAAGCAUGUCUUAAAGUGAAGCAAAAAUGUGCCAAAAAUUGAUUUUCUUUUAAGAGAAACAAUUUUUGAUAAGUCCCGUAAAUUUAGCUUUAACUUUGCAAAGCUGAGAAACUCAUUUCUUAUAACUCAUUUCUAGCUUGGUCAGUCCAAUUACUUCAUUAAAUUUAAUUUAAAUUUAAAUUUAAUUACGCCCCAUUACUUCACCUCUUGGCUCUUGGAUAGAUGUGUAUGGUUCUACCUCUUCUUUCUGCACUGUUCAUUUGUGACUAAAAACUGGGGUACAGUAGUGAAUGCUGGUGGGGCUGAGGGUGAUAUGAUGUUUAUCCAAACUGGAAGAGUAAAUCAUUACUUAAAGUAGUACUGAGCCAGUGACCUUGCUUAAAAUUGAAUUUGUAUGUUUCGCUGUACACAAAAUUUGUUUUGUGUUUAGCGAAAUCUGUGCCGUGGAUAUGUGAAGAAAGAUGUUUACUCCCUGUCUGGAAACAUUUUCCUGCAGUACUUAUGCAUGUGUCUCCUUGUCAUUUAUUGUUUAAAUAAAAUUCUCAAGUAGAAAAAGAAAAAAAAAGAAA